This 202-nucleotide unclassified non-coding RNA is filed under the name Colletotrichum sp. HL-2019a. RNAcentral describes it as "transcribed spacer 1". Lineage: Eukaryota; Fungi; Ascomycota; Sordariomycetes; Glomerellales; Glomerellaceae. The record is from RNAcentral.
CUGAGUUACCGCUCUAUAACCCUUUGUGAACAUACCCUCAACCGUUGCUUCGGCGGGUAGGCCGUUCCCGUGAAAAGGACGCCUCCCGGCCGCCGGCCCGGGCCCCCCGCGAGCGGGGGGCCCGGACGCGGGGCCCCCGCCGGAGGAUAACUAAACUCUGAUGCAACGACGUUUCUUCUGAGUGACACAAGCAAAAUAAUCA